GCUCUGUAGCGGUGAACGCCUCCCUUGUAUUUGGGGGCCGUGCCCCAGGCCCCUCUCCCUGUGAACUCCUCUGGGCUUUGUAUCGCAAAGUGAAGACCUCAGGGCACAUGCUGGGGAACCUCUCAUUGGCUGAGAACAGCCUCACCUCUGAUGGGGCCGACUUGAUCACCCUGGCCCGGGAGACCAUCAGCAUCCGCUUCACAGCCAUGAGGUCCUUCCUGCCGCAGCUCCUCGUACCGGGUUCUGUUUCCUUUGUCCUGCUGGAAAGGCAGAUCCUCCAACAGGUCACACCGGUGGUGUCAGGAUUCUACAAGGCGAGUCCCCAGGAGAGGCCCCUGCUCCUCUUCAGCAAUGCGGACCAGUGGGUGGGUGUUUAUAUCGAAUACAAGUUCCAGACUCCCAUCACUACCCACCUCCAAGGCCUGGCUAAUCACUUGGCCCAAAACAUAACAGAUCCCAUCCUCCAGAAAUCCAGCAUCGUGGCCAAUGGGGAGAAGGCAGAGCUGGUGCUGUAUGAAGUUUGGCUGCAGAUCCUGGUCCAGCCCUACACCAAGGCUUUGGAGGACAAAACCAGCCCUGAGUUCUGGGCACUUCAAGGGCAGCUGACGAGAUGGGUGAAGUGGCGGGAUGAAGUGGGGGGUCGAGGAAGAGGCCUCGGGAAGAUGGGGGAUGACUGGACAAGACUUUGGUAGAGCUGUGACCCUCUUCAUCCUCUCCUGA
Homo sapiens (human) is the source of this 720-nucleotide long non-coding RNA. NCBI's taxonomy places the organism in Eukaryota, Metazoa, Chordata, Mammalia, Primates, Hominidae. The record is from Ensembl.